RNAcentral lists this ribosomal RNA (222 nucleotides) under uncultured Staphylococcus sp. RNAcentral's name for it is "partial 16S ribosomal RNA". It matches the Rfam family "Bacterial small subunit ribosomal RNA", at positions 140 to 354 of the family's 1533-position model. Lineage: Bacteria; Bacillati; Bacillota; Bacilli; Caryophanales; Staphylococcaceae. The record is from RNAcentral.
UGGAUAACUUCGGGAAACCGGAGCUAAUACCGGAUAAUAUUUCGAACCGCAUGGUUCGAUAGUGAAAGAUGGUUUUGCUAUCACUUAUAGAUGGACCUGCGCCGUAUUAGCUAGUUGGUAAGGUAACGGCUUACCAAGGCGACGAUACGUAGCCGACCUGAGAGGGUGAUCGGCCACACUGGAACUGAGACACGGUCCAGACUCCUACGGGAGGCAGCAGGC